ACUCAAAUGAAUAGACGGGGGCCCGCACAAGCGGUGGAACAUGUGGUUUAAUUCGAUGCAACGCGAAGAACCUUACCUGGGCUUGACAUCUAGAGAACCCUGUGGAAACACGGGGGUGCCUUCGGGAACUCUAAGACAGGUGGUGCACGGUUGUCGUCAGCUCGUGUCGUGAGAUGUUGGGUUAAGUCCCGCAACGAGCGCAACCCUCGUUGUCUGUUGCUACAGGCAGAAAUGUGCUGAGCACUCAGGCGAGACUGCCGGUGAUAAACCGGAGGAAGGUGGGGAUGACGUCAAAUCAUCAUGCCCCUUAUGUCCAGGGCGACACACGUGUUACAAUGGGAUAGGACAAAGGGCAGCCAGCCAGCGAUGGUGCGCUAAUCCCAUAAACCUACCCUCAGUUCGGAUUGGAGUCUGCAACUCGACUCCAUGAAGUCGGAAUCGCUAGUAAACGCAGAUCAGCCAUGCUGCGUUGAAUACGUUCCCGGGCCUUGUACACACCGCCCGU
This 505-nucleotide ribosomal RNA is filed under the name uncultured bacterium. RNAcentral's name for it is "partial 16S ribosomal RNA". It matches the Rfam family "Bacterial small subunit ribosomal RNA", at positions 899 to 1397 of the family's 1533-position model. The record is from RNAcentral.